AUGGAAAGAAUAAAAGAAGAUUAUGAAUAUGCAAAAAUUCUUGUUUCAAAAUUGGACUCAGCUUGUGAUAUUAACUUUGAUUUACUUCAAAAAAUAGAGGAAGAAACAUAUUUACAAUUUAAGACGAAAAAGAGGAAGUUAGCAGAGGAUCACAUAAAUAAUAAUACUAUAACUACUAUGGAUGUGGAUAAUAACAAUAUCAGUUUGGAAACUAAUAAUGUAAAGGAUGACAUAAAUGAUAAUAAAAAGGACACAGUAAAUGAAUAUAACAAAAUAAAUAUAAAUACUGAACAUGUUGGUAGUCCAAUAAUAUAUAUUAUUGAAGAAAAUAUUAAUAAUAAUGAUAUAAAAAAAAAAUUAGAUAUUCUGAUUUUAUAUUUAAGAUUUGUUCAUAAUUUUUGUUAUUAUUCUGCUAAAAAAUAUAAUACAUAUGAUGAAAUGGUAAGAGAAUGUAAAUAUUUUUAUUUAAGAGUUAAUUUAAAUUUAGAAAAAAAAAUUUAUAACAACAGUUUAUUACCAAAAGCUUAUGAGAAUUAUAAUAUUAAAGAAUUAGAUUUUUUUUUAGAUGAUAACUUUUUUAAUAUAAAUGGUAAUGUCAUGACAGAUAUUGUUAAAGAAGAGAAAGGAAAUGUAAAUGAUGAAGAUGAGAAAAGUGGACAUAGUUAUAAAAAAGAUUUUGAAAAUUUGUCUAAACUAAAAAAUAAAUAUUUUAAUAAAGAAGAUGAUAUUUCUAUUUGUCAACUAAAAUGGCUUUAUAAUUUUAAUAAAGAAAUUAAAGAAGCAAUAAAAAGUAAUUAUUAUGAAUAUAUAGAUAUAGAAAAAACGAACGAAUUUUUACAAAUACUUGAAAAUAAUUAUAUAUUAAAAAGUAAUGCUGCCACUACUGCUACUACCACUACUGCUACUGCCACUACUGCUACUGCCACUACUACUACUGCCACUUCUGCUACUACUACUACUACCACUACAAAUAACACUAGUAAUAAUAAUGUGACAAAAAAUGAAAUUAGAUGCGCUAAAUGUAAAAAACUUUUUAAUAAUAUCAAAGAUGUACCAAAUCACAUUUUUAUGAAACACAGUCAAAUAAAAAUCAAAUUAAUAACAGAAGUAGAAGUAGAAAUCAUGCAAAAAUAUUUUUAUGAAAGUCCACAUAGUUUUAAUUUAUUUUUUAUGAUGGAAAAAAAAUAUAAUUCUGCUUAUAGAAAAAAUACUUUAAACAAUACAUUUUUUAACAAAGGUAAAAUUUAUAAAAAUCAAAAUUUCCAUUUAGUAACUGAUUAUGAUAAAAAUGAUUAUAAAGAUUUUGAUGAUCCAAACUUAAACGUUUUGGAAGAUGUGAAGCAUGAAGAAAAUAAAAAAAAUGAUUUUUACGAUGACACAUAG
RNAcentral lists this long non-coding RNA (1383 nucleotides) under Piliocolobus tephrosceles (Ugandan red Colobus). Its description in RNAcentral is "lncRNA (ENSPTEG00000001906.1)". The record is from RNAcentral. Lineage: Eukaryota; Metazoa; Chordata; Mammalia; Primates; Cercopithecidae.